Daphnia pulex (common water flea) is the source of this 723-nucleotide long non-coding RNA. RefSeq lists it as uncharacterized. The record is from RefSeq and is a predicted model, not a curated record. The transcript is spliced from 3 exons. NCBI's taxonomy places the organism in Eukaryota, Metazoa, Arthropoda, Branchiopoda, Diplostraca, Daphniidae.
UAGCUGCUGCGUGCUGUCAGCAAGCAAGCAAUCCAAUUGAUGUCCACCAGGUGGCGCGAGUGUCUUCAAUGGCCCAAAUUCGGCCAUUUUGUUCCUUGACGUAGCAGAAGUGAGAUGCCGGUCGUGACGUUUCCCAAAAUGAAAAGGUGAUUGAUCUUACCACUUUGCCACCUGAAUUGAAAAUGCCUGUACAUUUGCCGAAAUGUCGUGCCUCGUGUGUCUCGCUGCCUGUACCCAGUCGUACGUCUCAUGCCAUGCAACAGCAAAAGUCUAACAACCACGCUGCACGCUGCAGCCAGAUGGUGAAAGGUGUGAUGAAGAAAAGUUCAACCGUUGUAUGCAGGAUGUGGUGCCAGUGUUAUCCAGAAGUAGCUGUGCUGGAGUUAUUCCGAAGCAGCUGAGCCAGAAUUUGUCCAAAUUGCUGACUUUAAAAUUUUAACUGCUUUCAUUUGUGUUUUUUGCUUUGCAAGUGGUAUCCGUGGUGCUGAUUUGAAAUAUUUUUAUCCCCUUUUAUUUGUGGUUUUGCUCUGCCAGUGAGUUUCUGACUUGAAUUGGUUUCAUCUGUCGUCUUUUGCGUUUUUACUUGGGCAGUAUACGAUUGUGGCAAACUGAUUCUAUGUCAGUUUUGAUACAGUCGACAACUGCUAGAUUAAAUUCCGGCUUUCCGCACCAACAAAAUAAUAACGGCACAUGUUAUUAUCGCGGUUGGGAAAGUCACAGGCC